Molecule: ribosomal RNA, 2898 nt
Filed under: Escherichia coli
Lineage: Bacteria; Pseudomonadati; Pseudomonadota; Gammaproteobacteria; Enterobacterales; Enterobacteriaceae
Description: 23S ribosomal RNA
Rfam family: Bacterial large subunit ribosomal RNA
Source: RNAcentral
GGUUAAGCGACUAAGCGUACACGGUGGAUGCCCUGGCAGUCAGAGGCGAUGAAGGACGUGCUAAUCUGCGAUAAGCGUCGGUAAGGUGAUAUGAACCGUUAUAACCGGCGAUUUCCGAAUGGGGAAACCCAGUGUGUUUCGACACACUAUCAUUAACUGAAUCCAUAGGUUAAUGAGGCGAACCGGGGAACUGAAACAUCUAAGUACCCCGAGGAAAAGAAAUCAACCGAGAUUCCCCAGUAGCGGCGAGCGAACGGGGAGCAGCCCAGAGCCUGAAUCAGUGUGUGUGUUAGUGGAAGCGUCUGGAAAGGCGCGCGAUACAGGGUGACAGCCCCGUACACAAAAAUGCACAUGCUGUGAGCUCGAUGAGUAGGGCGGGACACGUGGUAUCCUGUCUGAAUAUGGGGGACCAUCCUCCAAGGCUAAAUACUCCUGACUGACCGAUAGUGAACCAGUACCGUGAGGGAAAGGCGAAAAGAACCCCGGCGAGGGGAGUGAAAAAGAACCUGAAACCGUGUACGUACAAGCAGUGGGAGCACGCUUAGGCGUGUGACUGCGUACCUUUGUAUAAUGGGUCAGCGACUUAUAUUCUGUAGCAAGGUUAACCGAAUAGGGGAGCCGAAGGGAAACCGAGUCUUAACUGGGCGUUAAGUUGCAGGGUAUAGACCCGAAACCCGGUGAUCUAGCCAUGGGCAGGUUGAAGGUUGGGUAACACUAACUGGAGGACCGAACCGACUAAUGUUGAAAAAUUAGCGGAUGACUUGUGGCUGGGGGUGAAAGGCCAAUCAAACCGGGAGAUAGCUGGUUCUCCCCGAAAGCUAUUUAGGUAGCGCCUCGUGAAUUCAUCUCCGGGGGUAGAGCACUGUUUCGGCAAGGGGGUCAUCCCGACUUACCAACCCGAUGCAAACUGCGAAUACCGGAGAAUGUUAUCACGGGAGACACACGGCGGGUGCUAACGUCCGUCGUGAAGAGGGAAACAACCCAGACCGCCAGCUAAGGUCCCAAAGUCAUGGUUAAGUGGGAAACGAUGUGGGAAGGCCCAGACAGCCAGGAUGUUGGCUUAGAAGCAGCCAUCAUUUAAAGAAAGCGUAAUAGCUCACUGGUCGAGUCGGCCUGCGCGGAAGAUGUAACGGGGCUAAACCAUGCACCGAAGCUGCGGCAGCGACGCUGAUGCGUUGUUGGGUAGGGGAGCGUUCUGUAAGCCUGUGAAGGUGUGCUGUGAGGCAUGCUGGAGGUAUCAGAAGUGCGAAUGCUGACAUAAGUAACGAUAAAGCGGGUGAAAAGCCCGCUCGCCGGAAGACCAAGGGUUCCUGUCCAACGUUAAUCGGGGCAGGGUGAGUCGACCCCUAAGGCGAGGCCGAAAGGCGUAGUCGAUGGGAAACAGGUUAAUAUUCCUGUACUUGGUGUUACUGCGAAGGGGACGGAGAAGGCUAUGUUGGCCGGGCGACGGUUGUCCCGGUUUAAGCGUGUAGGCUGGUUUUCCAGGCAAAUCCGGAAAAUCAAGGCUGAGGCGUGAUGACGAGGCACUACGGUGCUGAAGCAACAAAUGCCCUGCUUCCAGUGAAAAGCCUCUAAGCAUCAGGUAACAUCAAAUCGUACCCCAAACCGACACAGGUGGUCAGGUAGAGAAUACCAAGGCGCUUGAGAGAACUCGGGUGAAGGAACUAGGCAAAAUGGUGCCGUAACUUCGGGAGAAGGCACGCUGAUAUGUAGGUGAAGUCCCUUGCGGAUGGAGCUGAAAUCAGUCGAAGAUACCAGCUGGCUGCAACUGUUUAUUAAAAACACAGCACUGUGCAAACACGAAAGUGGACGUAUACGGUGUGACGCCUGCCCGGUGCCGGAAGGUUAAUUGAUGGGGUCAGCGCAAGCGAAGCUCUUGAUCGAAGCCCCGGUAAACGGCGGCCGUAACUAUAACGGUCCUAAGGUAGCGAAAUUCCUUGUCGGGUAAGUUCCGACCUGCACGAAUGGCGUAAUGAUGGCCGGGCUGUCUCCACCCGAGACUCAGUGAAAUUGAACUCGCUGUGAAGAUGCAGUGUACCCGCGGCAAGACGGAAAGACCCCGUGAACCUUUACUAUAGCUUGACACUGAACAUUGAGCCUUGAUGUGUAGGAUAGGUGGGAGGCUUUGAAGUGUGGACGCCAGUCUGCAUGGAGCCGACCUUGAAAUACCACCCUUUAAUGUUUGAUGUUCUAACGUUGACCCGUAAUCCGGGUUGCGGACAGUGUCUGGUGGGUAGUUUGACUGGGGCGGUCUCCUCCUAAAGAGUAACGGAGGAGCACGAAGGUUGGCUAAUCCUGGUCGGACAUCAGGAGGUUAGUGCAAUGGCAUAAGCCAGCUUGACUGCGAGCGUGACGGCGCGAGCAGGUGCGAAAGCAGGUCAUAGUGAUCCGGUGGUUCUGAAUGGAAGGGCCAUCGCUCAACGGAUAAAAGGUACUCCGGGGAUAACAGGCUGAUACCGCCCAAGAGUUCAUAUCGACGGCGGUGUUUGGCACCUCGAUGUCGGCUCAUCACAUCCUGGGGCUGAAGUAGGUCCCAAGGGUAUGGCUGUUCGCCAUUUAAAGUGGUACGCGAGCUGGGUUUAGAACGUCGUGAGACAGUUCGGUCCCUAUCUGCCGUGGGCGCUGGAGAACUGAGGGGGCUGCUCCUAGUACGAGAGGACCGGAGUGGACGCAUCACUGGUGUUCGGGUUGUCAUGCCAAUGGCACUGCCCGGUAGCUAAAUGCGGAAGAGAUAAGUGCUGAAAGCAUCUAAGCACGAAACUUGCCCCGAGAUGAGUUCUCCCUGACUCCUUGAGAGUCCUGAAGGAACGUUGAAGACGACGACGUUGAUAGGCCGGGUGUGUAAGCGCAGCGAUGCGUUGAGCUAACCGGUACUAAUGAACCGUGAGGCUUAACCUU